This 692-nucleotide ribosomal RNA is filed under the name Flavobacteria bacterium 7536. Its description in RNAcentral is "bacterial SSU rRNA". It matches the Rfam family "Bacterial small subunit ribosomal RNA", at positions 55 to 744 of the family's 1533-position model. The record is from RNAcentral. Lineage: Bacteria; Pseudomonadati; Bacteroidota; Flavobacteriia.
AUGCAAGUCGAACGGUAACAGAGUAGCUUGCUACUGCUGACGACCGGCGCACGGGUGCGUAACGCGUAUACAAUCUGCCUUGUACUGAGGGAUAGCCUUUGGAAACGAAGAUUAAUACCUCAUAGUAUUGCGACAUCGCAUGGUGAUGCAAUUAAAGGUUACGGUACAAGAUGAGUAUGCGUCCUAUUAGCUAGAUGGAGUGGUAACGGCACCCCAUGGCAACGAUAGGUAGGGGCCCUGAGAGGGGGAUCCCCCACACUGGUACUGAGACACGGACCAGACUCCUACGGGAGGCAGCAGUGAGGAAUAUUGGACAAUGGAGGCAACUCUGAUCCAGCCAUGCCGCGUGCAGGAAGACUGCCCUAUGGGUUGUAAACUGCUUUUAUACAGGAAGAAACAGAACUACGUGUAGUUCCUUGACGGUACUGUAAGAAUAAGGAUCGGCUAACUCCGUGCCAGCAGCCGCGGUAAUACGGAGGAUCCAAGCGUUAUCCGGAAUCAUUGGGUUUAAAGGGUCCGUAGGUGGAUAAUUAAGUCAGAGGUGAAAUCCUGCAGCUCAACUGUAGAAUUGCCUUUGAUACUGGUUAUCUUGAGUUAUUAUGAAGUAGUUAGAAUAUGUAGUGUAGCGGUGAAAUGCAUAGAUAUUACAUAGAAUACCAAUUGCGAAGGCAGAUUACUAAUAAUAUACUGAC